AGAAGUACAUUUUAUUUUAAACAGGGGAGCUUUGCCACCUGUUAGACUAACAAACAGAGGUUUUAGUGGCUGAGCCGUUUAGAAAUAUCUUAUGGUUAGACUAGAAAACCAAAUAAACUAAGCUUUCUACAUGAGAAAGGUCAAAAAGCAGAGGCGCCACGCAGGUCCUGGCUGUGGAUUUUCACAGGGUGGUGAGCAGAUGGGAGCCUCCUGGUGAGAGCAGAAGGCACCUCUCCCUGGAGGCCGAGGCUCCUGAAGCCAGCUGCUGAGGGAGAUUAAGAGCCUCCCUACAUGGGACAGUUUCCAGCUCUCACACCCAGCUGGUGGGCUCCUCUUUGCACUGGCUGCCACCGCCAGCAGGUUCCUGUGCUGCCUCCCCAGGGAAUUCAACCAGAGAAGCAGGCUUGGGGCAGACAGUGGGCCCACACCCCCUGGAGCUCCAGCAACGCCCCGUUUCACUUGGCAGAGACCAUGCAUCCUGGGCUCUCCUCCUCCACUCCCUGCAGAUGCACUUUUUAUUUUUCUUAUCCUGGAGAAUACCUCUACAGUUCUUCAAGGCUCUGCUCAACUGCCAUCUCCACAGCAAGAUGUCAUCUACCUAGCUGCGGGACUGUCUUAGUCAACUUGGGCUGCCAUACCGAAGUCCCACAGACUGGGUGGCUUCAACAACAGACAUUGAUUUCCUCACAGUUCUGGAGGCUAGAAGGCCAAGAUCAAGGUAACCUCCCUAAGAAAAGGGGCCACCUGUGUGGAAUUGUCCCUGAAGCAGGCAGUGGUGGGGGUGUGAAUAAGCCAGUUGUUCUGGCAGUGGACUUGUGAAGCUUAAAAAUGAAGAAGUGAGAAGAACUGAAAAGCCUGCAAAUAUUUUAUAUUAUUUUGCCAUGAAGAAAGCUGCCUGAGACUAUGUCGACAGUUUCCUGUAAUGUAGAUGCCUUGUCAAUAAUGGCACUCUGGGGUUGCUGGGCAGAUGUUUUGAAACUCUGGCUUUAGAACGAAUUACUCAGGAAGCCUGAUAGAAGUGACAAUUCUCAGCCUACCCCUAGAAACUGUGAUUGAGUAGAUCCGUGGAGGGGCCUAUGGAUCUGCACUCCAACUACAGCCCAGAAGUUUUCCCUGAAAAAUUUUCCUCAAAGGCGGGGAGAAACUUGCAGUGAGGAUCACCACAGAAGAAGCUGGCUGUUUGUGAAUCUGCAGAUUCUCAACCCUCCCUGUCAGAAGUAGCAGGCACACAAAACAGGAAAGGCCUGGCAGUCUCUCCUUCAGUGGGCUUUCUUGGAUUGGCAAGUGUUUUCAAUGGAGGAGAAAUGUUAUCGUGGAAAACCCUGUGGAUCAUGGAUUGGAUAGUUGCCAUCUGCAAAGCUUGACGAUGGAGGCAUUUGUUUAUUGCAGAGAUCUUUGCUUUUCAGAACAGCUGUGUCUCUCGUGAAGCUGCCAUGGAGCUGGUGAGCUAGAGGGCUCAGAAGUAAGGGGGUGAUGUUGCUCCAGGGACCUGGCACGUUAAGAGUCAUGGAAAUGACUGUCUGGAGUAAUGUUACAAUCUGCAAAUGCUUUGUUUUAUAUAGAAGUAGUCACUGUGGCUUAACUAUUUCCUGAAGGGGAGAUGACAGUGGGGCCUAAAAUCUUAAAAUGGCUGGCUAAUUCUCUUGCCUGCCACAAUGGAAUGUCCUCACAAAUCAAAGCAAUCAUCUUUCCAGGGCUAAUGUGAAUCUUAUAGGCACCAAGGGAGAUCAUUCUCCUGGUUGGUUCCAGCUGGCAUAUUUAUCCAUAGUCAAGAACAGAGACUUCGCCAUUUCAGGCUUUAAUGCAAAUCAAAAAAGCAAACAUGGCUACUCACUCUUGCAACUCCCUCAUCAAUACUGGAAUGGUUGAUUUAAAUGUGUUUAUUUCUGAGGGCACCAGUAUAUUCUGUAGUCACAUAAAACCUGGACAUUGCUGUUCUGCAAAUGCAAAAACGUGUAGCUGCACGUGUGAAACAGAAAUGUGAAAUUUAUGCCAACUCUCCCUUUUUGUCUCAGUUGUCUUGAUUUACAGAGGUUCCCUGAAAAAGUCCUGAAUGCACAUUCUUUCUCUUGUUUUGCUGUUUGGGCUGUGGUCAGAGCAGGUCUACAGGCAUUUACAAGUUUUGAAUACAGAUGUUCUAAAUACUUCAUCAAUUGGUCCCUCAAUAAACU
Molecule: long non-coding RNA, 2171 nt
Organism: Rhinopithecus roxellana (golden snub-nosed monkey)
Lineage: Eukaryota; Metazoa; Chordata; Mammalia; Primates; Cercopithecidae
Exons: 7
Source: RefSeq, a predicted model, not a curated record